UGGAUUAGAUCUGAUAAGAAAAUGGUGGAUUUGUUUUCUCAUUCUGAAGAUGCAGAUUAAUUAUCUUAUGAAAAUCCAGUGAAUAUUCUGCUCUCUCACAUUUUGACACUCGGCUCUACCUCCAUAGACCAUCUUCAAGGGAGCUUGGAUGCUUGAAUGAUUGACUACUGGACCAGGCAGCAAAUCUCAGCAUGCCUGUAACAUUUACUAAUUACUGAAGUGUAGUUAGGGCAACAGAAGAACAUGAAAAUACUUUGGAGUGCCAUUAAGCAAACAGGGUCAUUGUUCAAAAGCCAGAUGCUACGUUGUCUCUGCUUUUUAAGUUUCUGGUUCAUACUCUGUAUAUUAUUUCUUAAAUGUUUUGU
RNAcentral lists this long non-coding RNA (365 nucleotides) under Homo sapiens (human). RNAcentral's name for it is "HSALNT0076968". Lineage: Eukaryota; Metazoa; Chordata; Mammalia; Primates; Hominidae. The record is from RNAcentral.